Nothobranchius furzeri (turquoise killifish) is the source of this 481-nucleotide long non-coding RNA. RefSeq lists it as uncharacterized. The record is from RefSeq and is a predicted model, not a curated record. NCBI's taxonomy places the organism in Eukaryota, Metazoa, Chordata, Actinopteri, Cyprinodontiformes, Nothobranchiidae.
ACAGAGAUGAAAAUGUGAAUUUCACCAAAAGUAAUGUGCAGUGAUUGUUUGUGUUUUUGGAGCCGCCUACUGGUGGUUAGGCGCAACUGCAUGCAACGGGUCCUUCAGGCGCAUUCACAGCCCCUCCCACCAAAGCAGUAAUGAAAGCUGGUGGAGACCGUUGUAUGCAGUUGCAGCGCACACACACUGAUGUAUUAUUGUGUGCUUGUUUUUACAUCAGAUCCUGCCAGUAAAAAGCUCUGAAGGACAGUCCUGUGUCUGUGGCCUGAUUGUAUGUGUGCGGUGAUUUGAGGCAACUCCAAUAACCCUGGACGGACAACAAGAGGAAGCCGUCACACUGGUGCCGUGACUCCCGGAUUGCUGAGCAGCUUGAUGCGGUUCACCGGAGGUUACUGUGUCGUCUACCUGCAAGUUACCUCUUCACUUCAAGACCUCCACAAUUGGGUCACAAGAUCCUGCCAGUAAAAAGCUCUGAAGGACA